CCUAGGUUUCUUGUGUGCUUG
This 21-nucleotide non-coding RNA is filed under the name Arabidopsis thaliana (thale cress). Lineage: Eukaryota; Viridiplantae; Streptophyta; Magnoliopsida; Brassicales; Brassicaceae. The record is from RNAcentral.